RNAcentral lists this ribosomal RNA (253 nucleotides) under uncultured bacterium. Its description in RNAcentral is "partial 16S ribosomal RNA". It matches the Rfam family "Bacterial small subunit ribosomal RNA", at positions 524 to 776 of the family's 1533-position model. The record is from RNAcentral.
UACGUAGGGAGCAAGCGUUGUCCGGAAUCAUUGGGCGUAAAGGGCGCGUAGGCGGCCUUCUAAGUCGAACGUGAAAUCCCCGGGCUCAACCCGGGAACUGCGUCCGAGACUGGAAGGCUCGAAUCCGGGAGAGGGAUGUGGAAUUCCAGGUGUAGCGGUGAAAUGCGUAGAUAUCUGGAGGAACAUCGGUGGCGAAGGCGGCAUCCUGGACCGGUAUUGACGCUGAGGCGCGAAAGCCAGGGGAGCAAACGGG